UAGGGAAUCUUCGGCAAUGGACGGAAGUCUGACCGAGCAACGCCGCGUGAGUGAAGAAGGUUUUCGGAUCGUAAAGCUCUGUUGUAAGAGAAGAACGAGUGUGAGAGUGGAAAGUUCACACUGUGACGGUAUCUUACCAGAAAGGGACGGCUAACUACGUGCCAGCAGCCGCGGUAAUACGUAGGUCCCGAGCGUUGUCCGGAUUUAUUGGGCGUAAAGCGAGCGCAGGCGGUUAGAAAAGUCUGAAGUGGAAGGCAGUGGCUCAACCAUUGUAGGCUUUGGAAACUGUUUAACUUGAGUGCAGAAGGGGAGAGUGGAAUUCCAUGUGUAGCGGUGAAAUGCGUAGAUAUAUGGAGGAACACCGGUGGCGAAAGCGGCUCUCUGGUCUGUAACUGACGCUGAGGCUCGAAAGCGUGGGGAGCGAACAGGAUUAGAUACCCUGGUAGUCCACGCCGUAAACGAUGAGUGCUAGGUGUUAGGUCCUUUCCGGGACUUAGUGCCGCAGCUAACGCAUUAAGCACUCCGCCUGGGGAGUACGACCGCAAGGUUG
This 550-nucleotide ribosomal RNA is filed under the name uncultured bacterium. Its description in RNAcentral is "bacterial SSU rRNA". It matches the Rfam family "Bacterial small subunit ribosomal RNA", at positions 355 to 896 of the family's 1533-position model. The record is from RNAcentral.